Molecule: ribosomal RNA, 481 nt
Filed under: uncultured bacterium
Lineage: Bacteria
Description: bacterial SSU rRNA
Rfam family: Bacterial small subunit ribosomal RNA
Source: RNAcentral
AACGAACGCUGGCGGCGCGUCUUAAACAUGCAAGUCGAACGAUCUCUAGCAAUACAGGGAGUGGCGGACGGGUGAGGAACACGUGGGAAUCUACCUUGAAGAGCGGGACAACUUUGGGAAACCGGGGCUAAUACCGCAUAGUACAGAGAUGUUAAAGGGCUAGCAAUAGUCGCUUCGAGAUGAGCCUGCGGUCUAUCAGCUUGUUGGUGAGGUAAUGGCUCACCAAGGCUACGACGGAUAGCCGGUCUGAGAGGAUGAUCGGCCACACUGGCACUGAGACACGGGCCAGACUCCUACGGGAGGCGGCAGUUAAGAAUCUUGCGCAAUGGGGGAAACCCUGACGCAGCGACGCCGCGUGAAGGAUGAAGGCUUUCGGGUUGUAAACUUCGGUAGACUGGGAAGAAGAAAUACGUUCGUUGAGGGCGUAUAGUGACGGUACCAGUCUGAAGCCCCGGCUAAUACGUGCCAGCAGCCGCGGUAA